RNAcentral lists this ribosomal RNA (258 nucleotides) under uncultured Anaerolineaceae bacterium. RNAcentral's name for it is "partial 16S ribosomal RNA". It matches the Rfam family "Bacterial small subunit ribosomal RNA", at positions 1133 to 1382 of the family's 1533-position model. Lineage: Bacteria; Bacillati; Chloroflexota; Anaerolineae; Anaerolineales; Anaerolineaceae. The record is from RNAcentral.
GUGUCACACGGGAACGUAGCCGGUACGAUAAACCGGAGGAAGGUGGGGAUGACGUCAAGGUCAGCAUGGCCUUUUAUAUCCUGGGCUACACGACACGCUACAAUGGGAAGGGACAAUAGGUUGCGAAGCCGCGAGGCGGAGCCAAUCCAGCAAAACUUCCCUACAGUUCAGAUUGCAGGCUGCAACUCGCCUGCAUGAAGUUGGAGUUGCUAGUAAACGCAGGUCAGCCAUACUGCGUUGAAUACGUUCCCGGGGCUU